This 506-nucleotide ribosomal RNA is filed under the name uncultured bacterium. Its description in RNAcentral is "partial 16S ribosomal RNA". It matches the Rfam family "Bacterial small subunit ribosomal RNA", at positions 29 to 523 of the family's 1533-position model. The record is from RNAcentral.
AGUGAACGCUGGCGGUAGGCCUAACACAUGCAAGUCGAACGGCAGCACAGGAGAGCUUGCUCUCUGGGUGGCGAGUGGCGGACGGGUGAGGAAUACAUCGGAAUCUACUUUUUCGUGGGGGAUAACGUAGGGAAACUUACGCUAAUACCGCAUACGACCUACGGGUGAAAGCAGGGGAUCUUCGGACCUUGUGCGAUUGAAUGAGCCGAUGUCGGAUUAGCUAGUUGGCGGGGUAAAGGCCCACCAAGGCGACGAUCCGUAGCUGGUAUGGGAGGAUGAUCAGCCACACUGGAACUGAGACACGGUCCAGACUCCUACGGGAGGCAGCAGUGGGGAAUAUUGGACAAGGGGCGCAAGCCUGAUCCAGCCAUACCGCGUGGGUGAAGAAGGCCUUCGGGUUGUAAAGCCCUUUUGUUGGGAAAGAAAUCCAGCUGGUUAAUACCCGGUUGGGAUGACGGUACCCAAAGAAUAAGCACCGGCUAACUUCGUGCCAGCCGCCGCCGUAA